AGCGAACGCUGGCGGCAGGCUUAACACAUGCAAGUCGAACGGGCAUCUUCGGAUGUCAGCGGCAGACGGGUGAGUAACACGUGGGAACGUACCCUUCGGUUCGGAACAACUCUGGGAAACUGGAGCUAAUACCGGAUACGCCCUUAUGGGGAAAGGUUUACUGCCGAAGGAUCGGCCCGCGUCUGAUUAGCUAGUUGGUGGGGUAACGGCCUACCAAGGCGACGAUCAGUAGCUGGUCUGAGAGGAUGAUCAGCCACACUGGGACUGAGACACGGCCCAGACUCCUACGGGAGGCAGCAGUGGGGGAUAUUGGACAAUGGGCGCAAGCCUGAUCCAGCCAUGCCGCGUGAGUGAUGAAGGCCUUAGGGUUGUAAAGCUCUUUUGUCCGGGACGAUAAUGACGGUACCGGAAGAAUAAGCCCCGGCUAACUUCGUG
Molecule: ribosomal RNA, 435 nt
Filed under: uncultured bacterium
Lineage: Bacteria
Description: partial 16S ribosomal RNA
Rfam family: Bacterial small subunit ribosomal RNA
Source: RNAcentral